GUUUGCUUUAACUACUUCAUGAAUUGCAUAAAAUACAAGUGCUAUUUUAAAGUUCAUCUACAAAUUUCAAAGGCUAUUUGAAGCUACAUCUUGCACUUCAAACUGGAACUCACAUCAUAGCUCCAAUGCUUAAAUAUUUCACAUUAUUCAAGGAAUUGUUUCAUCUCUCCAGUAGAAAAUAGUAAACACCGAACACUAAUAAGGAAUUGGUGAGAAUCGGGGCAAGUGCUUGACAGCAAUCCAGUGAUAAUUUUCAAGAAAUCCUUUGUAAACUACAUUAGGAGCCUUCUGUCCAUGCUUUGGCACAAUGUUUUCAAAAGAAACCUCAUUUGUAGAAGAUUUCAAUUCCUCCCAACUGAACUCUUUAAAGCUUGGCAAUUCAUUUUCUUACCAUUUUCUGUGACCAUUUUACACAAAACCCAAUAAUAUAAAUUAAAGAAAAAUCAAGAUUUAUGAUCUAAUUAUUUAUUUUUUAAAUGUUAAGGCAUUAUUGAAACCAGUUGAAGUUUGGAAAGAAUAACAAAAUAAUAUAGAUGGGUAGUUUCCUGCAAAAAAAUAGAAGCAUUAUUAAACUCUAUACACGAAAAAGAAGGAUACAUGCCCAGAAAGAGAAUUG
RNAcentral lists this long non-coding RNA (616 nucleotides) under Olea europaea subsp. europaea. The record is from RNAcentral. Lineage: Eukaryota; Viridiplantae; Streptophyta; Magnoliopsida; Lamiales; Oleaceae.